This 517-nucleotide ribosomal RNA is filed under the name uncultured bacterium. RNAcentral describes it as "partial 16S ribosomal RNA". It matches the Rfam family "Bacterial small subunit ribosomal RNA", at positions 29 to 523 of the family's 1533-position model. The record is from RNAcentral.
AACGAACGCUGGCGGCGUGCCUAACACAUGCAAGUCGAACGGGAAAGCCCGCAAGGGUGAGUACAGUGGCGCACGGGUGCGUAACACGUGGGUAAUCUGCCCAGAAGCCCGGAAUAACUCCCCGAAAGGGGUGCUAAUGCCGGAUGAGACCACGGGGACCUCGGUCCCUGGGGGAAAAGGUGGCCUCUGUAUACAAGCUAUCACUUCUGGAUGAGCGCGCGGCCCAUCAGCUAGUUGGCGGGGUAAUGGCCCACCAAGGCUACGACGGGUAGCUGGUCUGAGAGGACGAUCAGCCACACUGGAACUGAGACACGGUCCAGACUCCUACGGGAGGCAGCAGUGGGGAAUCUUGCGCAAUGGGCGAAAGCCUGACGCAGCAACGCCGCGUGUGUGAUGAAGGUCUUCGGAUCGUAAAGCACUGUCGGGAGGGACGAAUAAGGGCCGGGUGAACAAUCCGGUCCGACGACGGUACCUCCAGAGGAAGCACCGGCUAACUCUGUGCCAGCCGCCGCGGUAA